CCGUCCGUCCCUGGGGAUCCAUUGGUGCCACCCAGCUGGGAGCCAGCAUGGCCUGGCUCAUGGAAACUCUGAUGCAAGGUUGAAUUUUCCUGGGGCUCCAGGAUGAAGCAGCUGCAGGGGCAGGCAGUGGAAAGUAUGAACAGCUCCUGCCUGGGGUUGUGCAAUGCAGAGAAAUCAGCUCAGGGCAGGGAUCUAUCCCAACACUAAAGCUCCUCAGCUCACCCAGAGCAACUGAAGUGCAGGAAUUCUUCCCAGGAGGUGUCAGGAGAGGUUGUUCCUUGAUCUGUGCCUUCCUUCCUCAGCUUCCAAAGUGCAAUUCUGUCCUUCCCCACUGCUCUGCAGGGAUGUUUCAUCUCCCCUGCUGGGAAAAAGGCACAUCCAGACAUUUCUCUAGCAGAAGUUGGAAAGAGAUGCAGAACUGUGGUGGCUUUCAGCAAGUGGGAGUUCCUAACCCAAAAUCCACUGCCUGGAAUAUUCAGGAAUUUAAAAUAUUUUAAAGAAUUAUUUUCUAAUGCUGAAAUGUUUGCUCCAUUAAUCAAACAGGUGGGUUCUUGCCAUAUGAAUAAAUAGAAAUAAAAUGCAUCCUCAGAGCUCUGUUGUUAUAUACCUUCAGAGCUUUAAAUGCCUGGGUGCUGCUGAUGUGUCACUAAUUAAUGUCUAAGAUAAUUACAGUGUGCCAGGCAUUAACCUCAUCAAAAAUGCAGGUGAUUUGAGAUAAAUUCCAGACUCUUCUGUGGCUCCUUUUAUUAUCUUGUAUUAUAUUUUAUUAUUUUAUCAGGGGCUUGGAUGGGAUUGUGGAAGGGGUUUGGAUUUAGAUGAUUUUUAAAGUCUCUUCCAACCAAGCCAUUCCAUGAUCUUUAGUAGUGCUUUUGAAAUGCUUUUGAAAUUUCCAGGUACACUUGGUUUGUUCUUUGAAAUGCAGAAACUUCUUGUAAUUGCUUUGAGUUUUUUCCUACCCUCCCAGAACAUUCUUAGAAAAUAUUUUUGAAGUUUCUCUUCCAUUCUUCCUUCUGUGACUGCAGUGGAAAAUGUCAUUCUUUAAAGAUCACAGAAAUACCAGCCUGCUCUGACCAGCUCCUGUUGUUUUCCAAAGCUUUCUGUGUUAAAGUUGAGUUUUUUAUUUCCUUUUGUUUUCCCCUUAGUCACAGAGGAUGUGUCAGAGGAUGAACACGUAACUUCUGCUUUGCCUGGGAUGAUAUCUUUAAUAUUAGAGUUAAACAAAUCCUGCUGUCAUGUUGGAAGGAACUAGAAAUUAAAAGAACCCCAAACACCUGCUGUUUUCAUCCUUAUCUUUGCUCUCCCUCAAGUCAGAGUUUUGGCAUAAUGCAGCUGCAUUUUUCAUGAUAAUAAAUUGUUAAGUACAGAAGUCUUUUUCAUCCUACUCCAGUGGGAUUAUGGUCCUGUCUUCACUCAGUGGGACAGU
Serinus canaria (Common canary) is the source of this 1423-nucleotide long non-coding RNA. RefSeq lists it as uncharacterized. NCBI's taxonomy places the organism in Eukaryota, Metazoa, Chordata, Aves, Passeriformes, Fringillidae. The transcript has 3 exons. The record is from RefSeq and is a predicted model, not a curated record.